CCUACGGGAGGCAGCAGUGGGGAAUAUUGCACAAUGGGGGAAACUCUGAUGCAGCGACGCCGCGUGAAGGAUGAAGUAUUUCGGUAUGGAAACUUCUAUCAGCAGGGAAGAAAAUGACGGUACCUGACUAAGAAGCCCCGGCUAACUACGUGACAGCAGCCGCGGUAAAACGUAGGGGGCAAGCGUUAUCCGGAUUUACUGGGUGUAAGGGGAGCGUAGACGGCAUGGCAAGUCUGAUGUGAAAACCCGGGGCUCAACCCCGGGACUGCAUUGGAAACUGUCAGGCUAGAGUGUCGGAGAGGCAGGUGGAAUUCCUGGUGUAGCGGUGAAAUGCGUAGAUAUUAGGAAGAACACCAGAGGCGAAGGCGACUCACUGGACUGUAACUGACGCUGAGGCUCGAAAGCGUGGGGAGCAAACAGGAUUAGAUACCCGUGUAGUC
Molecule: ribosomal RNA, 440 nt
Filed under: uncultured bacterium
Lineage: Bacteria
Description: partial 16S ribosomal RNA
Rfam family: Bacterial small subunit ribosomal RNA
Source: RNAcentral